This is a non-coding RNA of Oryctolagus cuniculus (rabbit), 2649 nucleotides long. Lineage: Eukaryota; Metazoa; Chordata; Mammalia; Lagomorpha; Leporidae. The record is from RefSeq and is a predicted model, not a curated record.
UGAGAAUUCUGUGCCCCCUAGACUAGAUAGACGACACUCAUCUAACAAAGUGGCAAGACCCUGCACUAUCAACAUGUGUUACCACAGCCCUCCGACAGGAAAUCAGGUUUCCAGAUGCUAAUGCUGCUAGUCCAUAAACUCCUGCGGGUUGCAAGAUUCUAACUCCAGGAUUCGCAAGCUCAGCUGUACGUCAGAAUCACUGGGGAGUUAAAGAGAAACCCCAAUAUCCAGGCCAGUAAAUCACAACCAGUCGCCUGCCGAGGUCCUCAGCUGAUUUCAACAUGCAGUCAAGACUGACAGCCAGCGCGCUCACAACUCAUCUCAAAACCUCAUCACCUUCCACAGAGACGCUCACUCCUGCCUUGAUUUCCUAACUUCCAUCAGCUGCCACCGCUCUGGCGGCCCACCUCUCCCCUCACAGGCUGAAUACACUGAUCCACCCAUGCCUCCCUUUUUUUACAAGGGUACUGGAAAAACUGCAGAAAAACGGAAUUAAAAGAGAAAGUUUAUUUUGGCGCAAAGACAGAACAGCAAUCUAGGCAUGUUUUCUUGAUAGUACUACUUUUCCAUGAACUUUUUGAAGACUCCAUCAUAUACUCACUAUCAAGUUGUUCCUGCCAACUUUUCUUCGUUUCCUUGCACCCACUCUGCCUGUGACCUAGAGUCGGGAGCCUCCGUUGCUCCUCAGUUUCCCACCUGGGCCCCCAGCCACAGGAGGCGCUCCUUCCUGCUGACCCUCACCUCACCAAUCCGCACGCCAUCCAGCUGCGCUGCAAACCUGCCUUCAUCACGCGUUUCUCUGCUCUGCAACUUUUAACAGCUUUCCACUGGCUAAGGGUGGAGUCUACAUUCCUUAAUUAACAUUAAUGCUUGACCAAAAAGAUCCUCUAUCCAUUCAGUACAUGUCUGCUGAAUGAACGACUCAGUGAAGUGGAAGGUGCCCUUCCGGAAGGUGCCGGCCUCACCUUCUGGAUCUGGGCCGCCAGUGCCGCCCCAUUGCUGAAGCUGUGUUCUGCUGCGUCUGGUUCUGAGAGGCUGCUUCGAGAACCCACGCUGCUGGAGAAUCACAUCAGUGAAGCCAUAAAGGGGAACGCUGCUCCAGGGCUACCAGUGCGAGACAUCCGGUGACUAGGUCUGCAUCCAGGGUAGGCCCAUGGUGCAGCAGUCUACGUGGGCCACCUGCAUUCCACAGGGGAGUGCCUGCUGAGUCCCAGGCUACCCAUAAAAGAGGGGCUGGGAGCCACUUCUGCCUCGUGGCGGCCAGGCUGGCAGCUCCCGUCUGUGCCCACGGACAUGGCAGCAGCAUCCUUCCUGGGUUCUGCACUGGUGCCUGGACUUUCCUGAAAAGAGCCUGGCUGGCGGCAGAGCACCUUCUUACUGUACAUCACGUUCUCCAAGGACUCGGGCAGCAGACUUUCGCCGUGGCUGAUGGACAUGACAUCCUGAACUUUAGAGAGAAAGUUUUCACAGGUUACAUCAGAGGGGCACAGUCUCACCUGCCCGGCUGUCAUCCUUCUUUUCACCACAAAUGCCAUCGCCUCCAUCACUGGAACUCUCCUAGGGAUAAAUGAGGCAUCCCAUGAGCAAAACUGCAGUCCAGAAGAAAUCACCCCAGAGUUCCUGUGCAGAAGGAAUAAGCACGCACAAGAGACAUUUCCUGUCCACAAACACCUCAAAGACAAGAUGGUGACUGAAAAAUAAAGGUUGCUUAUGCACACCCUUGAAAGAAGCAGGGAGCAGUUUGUUUAAAAUAAGCACUACGUUUUCCCUGGAAUGAUUCUGCCGAAAGAGAAUCAGCUUUAAGGAGUAAUGAACUGGCAUGCUCUCUCCCUGGCAAUCACAUUUUACAAACACCAUUUAAGCUGUGAAUUUAAAUAUUUGCUUUAUCAUCGUCACUUGCGAUUUAAUACUGUCAUUUCACCAAGACUAUACUUGCAUUUUUCUGUUUUGCUAGGAACAAGUGUCAUGCUCACGUUCAUUAUGGUUAGCUUCCUUCACAGCAACAGACACUAUUUUCAUAAAACAUGACUGCUCCAGACAUGAGACCUGAUGGUGCAAAACCCCAGGAAUUUAAAAUUAAAAUCACAACUUGAGGCUUCAAAGCGAAUGUUAUGGGUGUGGAGCGUCUUCAGUUGGUGUCCUGUCAAGCCUGCUGUGAUUUCUUCACAAACCCUGCCUUGGUCUCAGGAACUGGAUUUUAAAAGAUCCACUAUAGGCCGGCGCCGCGGCUCACUAGGCUAAUCCUCCGCCUAGCGGCGCCGGCACACCGGGUUCUAGUCCCGGUCGGGGCGCCGGAUUCUGUCCCGGUUGCCCCUCUUCCAGGCCAGCCCUCUGCUGUGGCCAGGGAGUACAGUGGAGGAUGGCCCAGGUGCUUGGGCCCUGCACCCCAUGGGAGACCAGGAAAAGCACCUGGCUCCUGGCUCCUGCCAUCGGAUCAGCGCGGUGUGCCGGCUGCAGCGCGCCGGCCGCGGCGGCCAUUGGAGGGUGAACCAACGGCAAAAAGGAAGACCUUUCUCUCUGUCUCUCUCUCUCACUGUCCACUCUGCCUGUCAAAAAAAAAAAAAAAAAAAAAAAAAAAAAAAAAAAAAGACUAUAAUGGAUGUGGGAGAGAUUGUGGUAUUUUUCAACCUUUUCAACCGGACUCUAGUC